GAUGAACGCUGGCGGCGUGCCUAAUACAUGCAAGUAGAACGCUGAAGGAAGGAGCUUGCUCUUUCCGGAUGAGUUGCGAACGGGUGAGUAACGCGUAGGUAACCUGCCUGGUAGCGGGGGAUAACUAUUGGAAACGAUAGCUAAUACCGCAUAACAGUAGAUGUUGCAUGACAACUAUUUGAAAGGGGCAAUUGCUCCACUACCAGAUGGACCUGCGUUGUAUUAGCUAGUUGGUGAGGUAACGGCUCACCAAGGCGACGAUACAUAGCCGACCUGAGAGGGUGAUCGGCCACACUGGGACUGGGACACGGCCCAAACUCCUACGGGAGGCAGCAGUAGGGAAUCUUCGGCAAUGGACGGAAGUCUGACCGAGCAACGCCGCGUGAGUGAAGAAGGUUUUCGGAUCGUAAAGCUCUGUUGUAAGAGAAGAACGAGUGUGAGAGUGGAAAGUUCACACUGUGACGGUAUCUUACCAGAAAGGGACGGCUAACUACGUG
This 497-nucleotide ribosomal RNA is filed under the name uncultured bacterium. RNAcentral's name for it is "partial 16S ribosomal RNA". It matches the Rfam family "Bacterial small subunit ribosomal RNA", at positions 28 to 507 of the family's 1533-position model. The record is from RNAcentral.